UCUUAUUAGUCACCAGUGCCGUCGUUAUUUCCUUAAUUUGUUGUUGUUUUUAAUUUACUUUUCCAAUCUGUAUUAUCAAACAGUUCUUUACAAAUCUACGCUGUAAAUUCAAGAAUUUGUUUAAGUUACAAAUCCCCUUUACACAUUUUAUUUCGAAAACUCAUUUUCGAAGUGCUAUACCUACGUAACGACGAUGGAAGGUGAUCAUAUUUGUUCCAGUCCUGUCGAGAGCAAAUUAUGGAAGAGUAUCCUGAUGUUAAAACAUACCUACAGGUCGUCCAUUACUAAGAAACGAUGAAGUGGUCGAAGACAACGAAUGGAAGCGAGUCCCAGAAAAUCAAAAUCCGUCAGUUUAGCGCCCAAGCUGGAGUAUGUUAUGCAACAUGCCAACGAAUUUUGCAUAAAGAUCUACGUAUACAUACACUCGUACCGGGUUUCUGUUCUACAGCAACUGCACCCUCUUGAUUAUGAGAAUCGACGUCAUUAUUGUGAUUAACGAAUAACGAAUA
Long non-coding RNA from Photinus pyralis (common eastern firefly), 509 nucleotides. RefSeq lists it as uncharacterized. The transcript is spliced from 3 exons. NCBI's taxonomy places the organism in Eukaryota, Metazoa, Arthropoda, Insecta, Coleoptera, Lampyridae. The record is from RefSeq and is a predicted model, not a curated record.